This 378-nucleotide ribosomal RNA is filed under the name uncultured eukaryote. RNAcentral describes it as "partial 18S ribosomal RNA". It matches the Rfam family "Eukaryotic small subunit ribosomal RNA", at positions 592 to 976 of the family's 1831-position model. The record is from RNAcentral.
CAAUAGCGUAUAUUAACGUUGUUGCAGUUAAAAAGCUCGUAGUUGGAUUUGUGGUUCGUCCCGCCGGCUGGGUCAUUGACUUUUGCUGUGCUGGUCGUCCAUCCUUGGGUGGAAUCUGUGUGGCAUUAGGUUGUCGCGCAGGGGAUGCCCAUCGUUUACUGUGAAAAAAUUAGAGUGUUCAAAGCAGGCUUAUGCCGUUGAAUAUAUUAGCAUGGAAUAAUGAUAUAGGACCUUGGUACUAUUUUGUUGGUUUGCGCACUGAGGUAAUGAUUAAUAGGGACAGUUGGGGGUAUUCGUAUUCCAUUGUAAGAGGUGAAAUUCUUGGAUUUUUGGAAGACGAACUACUGCGAAAGCAUUUACCAAGGAUGUUUUCAUUAA